UUGAAUCACAUGCUCUUCUUGCCUCGAUUCUUAUGCCUUUCAUAUGUUGAUAUUUGGAGUCACUGAUUCGUUUUUUUUCUCUAAAGUCAGUUGACCCCGUGUCUCUCUAGUUGAAAUAGUCUGGACAUUCAUGUGGUCUAUACUUGAAAUGUGCUGAUUAUGCUUUUCUGUCUUCUUUAUUACUUCAUGGUGCUCUUGUUCAUCUUUUCUGUUGUCUCGAUUUAUUGUUGUAGAUUUCUAGCAAAGUUAGCGUAGUCUUGUAUGGUUACUCUUGUUUUCUUGAGUAGUUUGA
This 292-nucleotide long non-coding RNA is filed under the name Solanum tuberosum (potato). Its description in RNAcentral is "long non-coding RNA (STUB_LNC009869)". The record is from RNAcentral. Lineage: Eukaryota; Viridiplantae; Streptophyta; Magnoliopsida; Solanales; Solanaceae.